GUGAGUGUGUCUGGGGGAACGAUCGAACAAGGAAGGAGGAGGGGGAAACCCUAAACUCAAGAAAUCAAGCAAUUGAAGCCUAAAAUCAUAAGAAAAUCCAGUGCAUGAGCCAUCUUAUCGAUCAUCUAAGCAUACCUAGUGAAGUGCUUGAAAGAAUAAGAACCAUGCCAAGAUGGACCAACUCAUGGGAAGCAAACGGGUCAAAGAGGAGGCAAAGAAACUAGCAUAAACAUGACGAGCACGAGGUAAGUGAUUUCUAUAAUCACUUCUUUAGUUGUUUAAGUAAUAUAAUGUUUUAAUUAUUAAGUUCAUAUGAAGUUGAGGUCAAAUCAAUAGAUUAUUUUGAUAAAUGCACGAAUGGGUCGAAUAAUUCAUAGAUAAAUAACAAGCCGAAUACGUAUAAGUUAAGAAAUUCCUUAACUCGGAUGUUGGACUUCAAGGUCACAUGAUAGAAUAUUAAAUUACAAUCAUAUAGGAAGAAACGUGACGCAAAACGGAUGAAAAAUGAGAGAGUUAUGUCCGUUUCGGUAAGGAUUAAUGGCUAGGAAAAGUGCAGAGUUGACACGGCCGGGUGGUGAACUGACACGGCCGGGUGAAGGUUCUGUCAAAAAUAUUAUUUAUGUGAUUUAUGCGCCGUAGGUUGCGUUAUAUUAUCCGUGAAUUACGACGGGCCUCCCAAACAUGAUUUCGAGUGUUUCCUUGACGAUUAUAAGUUUUAAACCCAAGUCUAAGCCUCAUGUAAUUUAUAUAAGAGUGUGUUAGAUGUAUGUAAUGAGGUUGGACAUGUAUUACAUGUAAAUGUAUACAAAAAUACGUACGGAACACGUAGGUAUGAAUACAUGAUUGUAGGUAAGAUUAAAUGUAUUCUAGGUAUGUAGAUGUGUAUGAUUGUAAGAUUGUAUGUGUGCAAGUAUGUGCGAAUGCAUGAUUUGGUUGCACUUGAGAAUUAGCGUUACUAAUAAUGCCCUUGGGUUUGGAAUAUAAGUUAAUUGGAUGCAUUUAAAUGGUUGACGUCCUUUUUAUGAAGAUGUAGUAAAUGAAUAUGUUGAGAUUACGGGUUUGGCUAACCAAGUUAUUAUUAAGUAUGUUUGAAAGUGCAGGUUAUGAAUGUCGGACUUUCAAAGUGUUGAUAUAAUAAUGAAACGGUUGAAUCUUGAAAGGAUAAUCGGAUUGAAGUAACUUAUGCGGUUAGAAUAUGCUGUGGACGUUUUAGUUUAUACAACAUUUUAUGUUUGGUCGUCAUCAUCUACCAACGGGUAAAUCCUCAAUUCAGGCGACUUGGAGAAUCGGAGCGAGCGCGUGUUCAUGUUAUGUCAUACUAAACGCUUCCGCUAGCUUGUUCAAAUGUUUUUAGUCCAAAAUUUGUUGUAUUGGUUCUUAGUAGUAUUUUGUCGAAUGAAUCGUAGAAUUGUAUCUAGUUUGAUUAUGUUUAAAACAGGGGAAUGCUCGUUUUAUGGACGGGUCAUGCCCAAUUUUUGUUAAAUUAAUGCACCUGCGUUAUUGAUAUUAUCAUUUAAA
RNAcentral lists this long non-coding RNA (1518 nucleotides) under Helianthus annuus (common sunflower). Its description in RNAcentral is "hypothetical non coding rna". Lineage: Eukaryota; Viridiplantae; Streptophyta; Magnoliopsida; Asterales; Asteraceae. The record is from RNAcentral.